RNAcentral lists this ribosomal RNA (473 nucleotides) under uncultured bacterium. RNAcentral's name for it is "partial 16S ribosomal RNA". It matches the Rfam family "Bacterial small subunit ribosomal RNA", at positions 29 to 507 of the family's 1533-position model. The record is from RNAcentral.
AUGAACGCUAGCGGCAGGCCUAACACAUGCAAGUCGAGGGAGGAGCCUUCGGGCUUCGACCGGCGUACGGGUGCGUAACGCGUAUACAAUCUGCCUUUCACAUAGGGAUAGCCCGAAGAAAUUUGGAUUAAUACCUAAUGGUAUAUAGAUGUGGCAUCACCUUUAUAUUAAAGCUGAGGCGGUGAAAGAUGAGUAUGCGUUCUAUUAGCUAGUUGGAGAGGCAACGGCUCCCCAAGGCGACGAUAGAUAGGGGUUCUGAGAGGGAUAUCCCCCACACUGGUACUGAGAUACGGACCAGACUCCUACGGGAGGCAGCAGUGAGGAAUAUUGGACAAUGGUCGGAAGACUGAUCCAGCCAUGCCGCGUGCAGGAAGACGGCCUUAUGGGUUGUAAACUGCUUUUGCAGGGGAAGAAUAAGGACUACGCGUAGUUUGAUGACGGUACUCUGCGAAUAAGCAUCGGCUAACUCCGUG